This 8845-nucleotide long non-coding RNA is filed under the name Malus domestica (apple). RNAcentral's name for it is "long non-coding RNA (MDOM_LNC021093)". Lineage: Eukaryota; Viridiplantae; Streptophyta; Magnoliopsida; Rosales; Rosaceae. The record is from RNAcentral.
GAAAGCUGCGUGCUGGGCCUUCAUUUCUUUGCCACGGUCAAACGGCUAUGUAGAAAAAUCUGUAAUUUUGAUACAAUCACCUUGAAACACUCACGAACAUCCUCCAAUUGGAAUCACUCCAAAAUUCAUCUGUUUGAUCGGUUGUUGCUCUAGAGGAAUCGAAUGUCCUACAUUGAAAAUACAUAACAAAGUAUCAAAAUUCUACCAAAAUAACUAAUAAACUAUAACUAAGAUUAGGGUAAAAUAUAUAGUAUAAUAUCGACUCAUCAAAUACCCCCAAACUUAGCAUUUUGCUUGUCCUCAAGCAAAACAAAACUAGAAAACAAAAAUAAAAACUAACAAACUAGAAACUUAACUAAACUUGACUAAGACAAUUUUCACUUUAAGUCGCAAGCCAUAGAAAACGUUAAAAAUUAGAACAUAUUUUCAAAACUUCCAACUAAUCCCACCCCAAAGUCCAAGCCAUGUUAGUUCCCUUAAGCUUUUGAUGAUUCAAGAGUUAGAACAUACUUUCAUUUUUUUUUUCAGUAACAGUAGUGGCCGUGCAAUGUCAGUUUCCUUAAGCCUUUGAUCCAACCCAUGUAGUGAGCUUUAGGUCAAUGACUCCCAAACCACUAAAAGGCACUAGGUAUAGAACACCCCUAAGGACUUAUUAACUCGAGCUACAAAGGCUACAAAACCAACUAACCACCCUGCCCCAUGCCAAAACUCUACCGUUUGACACGAGAAUCACUACUGAUCAGACAGGACUGGCCCGGUUACUAAGCAAAGUCUCGAGUGUCACAGCCCGUCCCGUGAUUCUUUUUAUCGAGGUUGUGAAAUGACAAAAUUAUCCUUGACGGGUGCCAAGGUAGGUCUGUGACAUAUUAUUGAACAAUGCAUUUUCCCUAAGUUUUGAAAAGUUUGAAUUUUGAUUAAAGGUUGUAUCUGUUUUGUGUGGUUAGGGAAAGAAGUUGAACUUAUUUUGGGAUGGACCACACACACGCACACACGGGAUACCCUCACCCCGUGCCCUCUCUCUCUCUCCUCCUUCUCUAUCACUCUCACUCUCUCCCUCUCGAAACUGUACGGACCGACCCAAAAACUCUUGAAACUUCAUGGAUCGAAGUGGAGAUUAGCACCAUUGUGUUCGUGAGUGCCCUACGAACUCAAAGGUUCCAUUUUCAGGUAAGAAACCCUUCGUUUUCACGUUGAAAAUUCAAGGUCUGAAUUGGGUACCAUUCAUGAACUUUGUAAUGGUUAGUUUUUAGGACAAUCCAAGCUCAUAGUGAGCUCUAGGAAGUUCCCACGAAGCUCGGGGAUGUUCAUUUGGAAGUUUUGGACGUCGGGAAACCCUAGUUCGAAGGUGGCCGGUUUUGGUGAAGUUUCCCGACGUGAUUUUCGAAGGUUUUGAGACUCCAAAGAGGUAUAGUCUUCUUCCCCUCGUGAUUUAGGACAUUUUGGUGAAAAUUUCAUGGAAAAUGGUUGAGAAAUGACAGAGAACAAGGAGAUUGAAAAAUCUCCAGUUUCUGGCGACCGGAAAAACCAGUCUGGCGACUGGAGGAAGAAGAUGACGCGCGUGGGGCGCGUGGGUCCGUGCCCCUCCCGGCGCGUGGGGGCGCGUGCAGCCUCAAAUUUUUUUCUAAAAAUAUGUCGACGUCCGUGACGUCGAGUAGGUCACUAUGGUAUAUUCAUAUACCCAAAUUGAGCACUGUAUGAGAAGUUAUUACGAAUUGUCGAUUAUGUGCUUUAAUUAACGUUUUUAUAGUUGUUUCGCAUAUAGGUGAUACCUAUCCCGCGGACGAGCGCAUCCAGGGACGUCACGGGGGUUACGACCCUUCGACUUACCAGUGAGUGGGCAGUAUUUUAUGUAUUUACCUAUAUACUAUUGAUUUUUCCCAGAAAUUGAAUUUAAAUGAAAGUAUGUUUUUAAAAUGCCAUGCAUGCAUAUUGUGAAUUAUAUGAAUUAGUAAUUGAUGCAUAUAUAUGUGAAAUGGUGUUGUGGACGCACAGGUGAGUUUUAUGUUAUUCAUAUGGUUUAUUGAUGAUGUGAAUUGCGUUGAGAGCUCAUAACCUGCACCCCUGGUGUUAGUGCUUAUAUUAUUCACCCGCACCGCACGCUCACCUUGGAUCCAAGUAGGUGCAUGUCGCACAGACCAUGAGAGGGUUCCGACAUGCUAGUCAUGCAGAUCACUAAAGGUGGUUCCGAAUGGUAGGUGACCUUAGAUUAUGUGCACAGAUGACUGAUGAGAGAAGCACUAGAUCGUAUUAUUACACCAUUCUAGUCGUACAGACUACUUCAGGUAGUUCCGACUUAUGUGCAGAGUAGUGCCGUACAGGUCACCGUGGUGACUCCGGUUGGUUUGGAUAUUGAGCUAUGGAAUUAACCGUACAGGACCAACUGCAGGGUCUCCGGUUGAUUCAUUAUGUCACCUGUUAUAUUGAUGCAUUCUUAAUCUGUUAUUGACAUUUAUGGCAUGGCAUAUUUUCUGGGUUUUGAUAAAGAAUUGUGAUUUGAGAUAUACAAAGAUUAUAUGCAUAUUAUGUUAUUUUCUGGGACAGUAUACAGGUUUUACAGUGAGGGGUUAGAAAUGUUUUAGUUAGCAGCGUUGGUGGCCCACGAUGAUUCCCACGGCGUACUGACAAACUACAUAAAUGUAGGACUCACCUGCGGGUGUUGUAAUUUAGUUAUGGUCUUACUUGACUGCACCUAGUACUUAUGCUCUGAAUUUGUGUGUUUCACAGUUAAACUUACUCUAGCACGUUACUUGGUUAUUAUUGCUAGUAUUUGGUUUUUGUUUAUUUGUAUUUCUCUUAUCUAUUGCUUCCACCUCUCACUUUUGGUUACGUCACGCCCACGUGACGGCCAGCACGCCUUGAUUCUAGGAUCGGGGUGUGUCAUCGGGUGGAACAAUUAUUACUUUAUAACAAUAACUAACUUUACUUUACUUAGAACAAAAAAUAAAAUACACUUAGAUGAAAAGUAAGUGUUUCAAUCUCACUCCCCACAAACCAUGUUGGUGUGAAAUGUGCAAAUUUUCAAAUUAUAACUCAUGAAUUAGUGUCUAAACAAUGAUAAAUAGAAAAAACUCCAAUAUGGGAUUAACCUUCACCAUGUCCAUUUGUUCUAACGUUUAAAAUUAAGUAUGGAUAUUAACUUCAAAAGAAUGAAAAUUUUAUUUGACUCAAAAAGUAAAAAUCUAAAAUUUCUUAUUUUCCACUCCCAAACUUAAAUCACACAUUGUCCUCAAGGUGUGAAAAAUAAAUGAAAUCAAAGAAACAACCCUUAAAACAAAAAAUUAAAUACUAAACCGAAACCUAACUAAACCUAAAAAUAAUUAAAAGAUAGUAAAGACAAACAAAAAAACAAAAUGAAAAGUGACAAAAUAAAUAAAGAAAGAAAGAAAAGAAAAGAAGGCAACUAGGUUGAAAAUGUGGACCUAGCAUUGGACAUGGGGCCUGAUGCAAGGAAACAUGGAGCAAGAGUGGCAGCCAUUGAAACCAAAAGACACUAGGCCUUGAAAAUAUCCAUGCACCCAUUUGAAAACCUGCCCCCGUGAUUGCAGACACCACAAACAGAAGUCACACGCCUGGCACACGUGCAAUGCACAUGGGUGAUUGAAACCCUAAGGGUGCGUUUGUUGCACCAGACUAUCUCGGACUGGACUAGCUUCAGGACUAAGUUGGAUUGGCUUAGACUAUACUAAAUUGGAUUGAUUUAGUGAAGUAUUUGGUGCAGUGGCGGACUAAAAAGUAAGACUCUAAUAUUAUAUUAUUUAAUAUAUAUCUAUAAUAUUUUAUUAUUAACUUAAUAUAUAUUUAUUAAUAUUAUAUUAUUAAUUUAUCUUUUUCUUAUUUUCUAGAAUCAUCCGGGAAUCAUCUUUCUCUCCAUCUAACUUCUCAUUUUUUUUCUCCACCGUCGCUCUCCCCUCUCCAUCUAUCCUCUAAUAUUUUCCUCCCUCUAUGUAUCCAAGUUUCUUGGCUCCUUUUCUCCCUCUGUUUCACAGACGAUUCGAAUUAAAAUCAUAAAAAAUGGAGAUAUGCCUUCCCCCAAAAAACCCCGCACUCUCAAGCUUAGCAUCGCCAAUUCCAUGGCAGCCAUGGUGAGUUUUCCUAUUCAGCUUCCUCUCUUUCUUCCCUUUGUUUUUCCAUUCAAAUCCCUCUCUCUCUUCCCUUUGCCUUUUUUCAUGUCCAACUCCCUGAGUGGUAAUUAGAUUAUGGGUGGUCACCAGAUUCUAAGAUUUUAGGUCGUGGGGGGCUGCGGUCAUUGAAGAAGGCUGCUUGAGACGGAUUUGGAGAGAAGAAGGCAGUGACAUCUAGUCCUAGCUAAUACCAUGCUUUUGGUUAGGAUUAGCUAACAACAGCUAAUGAGGCCCAGAGUCGAGGCGAGUCUGAGCUAGCGUCAGUAAAGCUAAUCCUUUGCUUUGCCAAACACUGGACUACACUGGCUGUUAGUCCAGUUCAGUCUAGUGAGAGCUAAGGAUGUCAAACAAACACACCCUAAAGCUCCACUAGAAAAAUGAAAACACACCCCAUUGCCAUAAUUUCUUAUGGCUGAGAACCAUCUCUAGCCCAGAGCCAAACGAAUGUCUUCCCUUCUCCAGACUUUUCUCUCUAGCCUUCUCUUCUACAAAAAUGAGAAGUCUCUCUCACUUUCCCACUCGUCAACAACACAGUAAAAAGGUUCAUGGAGUGCAUCGCACCUACAAACGGACAUGUAGGCCUCAUUUUCAUCCCAUCCAAGAGCUUAAAGGUACAAAGAGAAAACUCCCCAAACUUCUUUGUUUUAGUUUCGAUUGUGCAUUUCAGUAAAAUAAACCAAAACUAACAAAUGCAUGUGGUCUUUCUCUGCACAGGAAAACUCGAGUAACAAAGAGAAAUCAAGCACCGAUUUGUGGCAGAACAGUUGGCAGAGUCCAGGAUUUUCAGAUCCAAAAGGAAGGUAAAUAGCGGACGACCCCCAAACUUAUUUCGUUGUUUCUUGAUCCAAAUCUGUGAAAGGUAGUCCUGGAUCUGUGUAUAAUGCGAUGCAUCAGUAUAAUGUCCUUUGGAAUUAUCUCUGUCUUCAUGUAUCGUGUAUGACUAAGUUUAUUUUGCAUGUUUCCUAAUUAUGAAUGCCGAGGAAAAUCUGCGCAAAACUUGAUCUGCAAUAUAUGGACCCUUAUGCACACUUGGAACCCCGAUUGUAGAAUCAUGCAUGUAUUAUAGGCUUUCAUAUGGUCAUGUUUAUUGGUGAAUGAAUGAUGAAUGUAUGAAUCCACACGUGGUUGAGAUUAGACCGAAUCAAUUCUGAAUGCAGCCUACAAUCACAAAUUAAAAACCUAAUUGGAUAAGUAAAGAAAAAUAACUAGAAUUAAAGAUUGCAAUUUUUUUUUUAAUUUUCUGAUUUUUUAUUUUUUUGUGAUUUUUGUAAUUUGGAAUAAGAGCAAUAAAUUAAAAAAAACGAAACAAAAAGAAAAGAGUUCGAAAAACUUGGUUGCCUCCCAAUUAGCACUUUAGUUAACGUCUAUAGCUAGACGUAGAGGAAUGAAUUGAUGAUCACGUCACUUGUUCUCUUAGAGUCAACGACUCCUUAGCAGCAUCAUAGGGUAUUAGUAGGUAAGGAGUGACUUGAUGUUUAUUGACUGAGUAUUUAAAUGUUGUGGUUGCGUCCUUAAUGUAUGCUCUUUUAUGUGAAUGAAUUCUUAUAAUCAAAGAGGCCCCUUCAAGCGAGGCUUGCAUCUCCGUUGAACUGACUUAAACCUUGUAUUUAACACCCAUAAUUUAUGCACUAGUCAAAUUUCUUGAUGAAGAAUAGGGCUGCCAUUAAACUUUUUCUUCAUUUCCACGUAGAACUUAUCCUUAUGGUAGGACUCAUCUUGAAUUUCUUUGAGUUUUAUUGGUUGCACAGGUGCACUGUCUGUUACAGCAGCAAAAAUUAUUUUAUCUUUAUCUAUUUGCCCUGUAUCAAAAUUUGGUAGAUUUGUCAAGUGUUGGUCAUGUGUUGGAUCACAUUUUGAAUUUGUAUGAAUAAGCCCUUCAAACAUGUCAGUUUCAAUGACAUCAUGCAGCUUUGUUGGUGGCUUUGCAACCUCGGGAUAUUAAAUGUGUGGCAUAUAGAUUUGGGUAGCAAGGGGUUCUGUGGAAAUUUCAAGAUUAGCAUUUUCCUCCAUUGGGCGAGAGUCAAUGCCUGGUGGCUCCUCAAUUUUAGUGUCUUCCUGUAUGUAGUCAUAACUCUCUACACAUUGCGGUGUUUGAAUUACACACCAUUCCUUUGAAUCUUGUGGGCUAUCAAUUUGUUGACAAGGAAACUCGUCUUCCUCGUGUUCGUCCCAUUGAUGCAUGAGCUGCCCAACUUGUUGCACUAGAGUAUCUAAUGAAGGCUAGGUAUCCUGAAUCUCACAGUGGUUGCUUUCAAAGGAUUUAGCCAUGUUUUCGAUUGCAAUAUCUCAAUCAGCUUUUGUUGGCACAAUAGGUUGUCCAAAAAGCUGAUGACUAGGUUCCCACAUAGGAUUUUGAUGCUUUGGCCAUGAUGGAUUAUAAAAAUUUGAGUAGGGAUCGCACCUAGGCCUUUGAAGAUUGUUCCUUAUAUUAAUAUGGUGCUGCACAAACUCUGGAAAAUACUACCUUCGAGGACAAUACAUAAUAUCAUGGGUAUUCAAAUUGCAAAGAGCACAAACUGUAGGUGCUCCUUGUGAGGAACCAAACAAAUCCAUUGUUGCAAUGCUCUCAAAAUCAAUAUAAAAUAAAAUCAAAAUCAAGUAAAUAAAAAGAUAUAUACAAAAAUAAUUAACUAAGAGCUGAUAAACACAAAUUAUUUGAAGCAAUCCCUGGCAACGGCACCAAUUUCUUGAUAGAAAUUUUUACCACCUGCAAAAGUGAGGAUAAAAACACUUAAAAAUACUUGCAAGAGUAUAAGGUUGUGUAGUAUAGCAGCUCAAACAAGGUCGUUCUCCACAUAGAUUGAAUGAAUAAUUUAUGUUAAAAUUAAAUCUUAAUUAAUUAUUUGAAAAUAAAGUUUGGAAGAGGUUGAUUUUAUGACCAAAAAUAUUAAAAACAAAUUUAAUUAAAAUAGUUUUGAAAAUAAAUUUGAGCACUAGGGUUCCGCCGUCAUCUUAACAAUCCUACGUAGUUCUUUCAAUUACUUAUGACUUACACACACAUAUUUGAAAGUUAGGUUUUUCUAAAGUAUGCCCUACUUGGAACCUCCAACAUAUAACGUAUAUCUAACAUGCAACUCGUCCGUAGUGUUCAAAUCGAAUAUGAACAUGCAAGACUCAUUAAGUUUUGUGAAAACCUUUUGAAAAACCAUAUAACCCUUAAGACGUGUCCAUCCUAAGAAGUUACACAUUAACCAUAAGAAGCCAAAGCCAAUUCAAGGGACAGACCUCCGCCAAAAUUGCAUCAAAUUAUUUUUCUAAAUAUCCAAAUGAUGGCCAAUCAUCAAGACAAUUAGAUAGUUUAAACCAGUGAUUAAUAAUUCAAAACCCGUAUGCAUAAUAUUAUAAGCAAAUUGAAAAGAAACUACAUAUUCUUACUAAGGCUUGUAGACUCGCCCCAAUAAACGAAACUAGUUACUAACAACCAUAAAACAAAAUAUUAUUAAAAACAUGGAUAGAAAACACCUUGAAAAUAAACUUGAAUUGUCAAAAGCUCUCUAAAGCCAAAUGCGUGUGUUCUCCCCCUCUUCUCCCUAAUGGCUAAAAAGCCUUAUUUACAUUACUUCAAAAUAAAACCCUUACUAGAAGAGGUCUUAAAAUAAUACUAGGAAACAUAAUAAAAUAAUAAAACAGAAAAUAAAUGGUUUUCUAUUUGAACUAAAAUUCGGAGUUCUCAGAAAAUUAGUCUUAUGACCGACCAAAUCAACUUUGAUUUGGUUCCAAAAUGUCUCUUUUGAAGCUAAAGAUGUCCCCUACAUAUCCUCAGAAGGAAUAUCCCUUAAAAUAUGCCUUCUUGACCUUCAAAAUACUCACAAUGUCCAUAAACGUUUAUCUAGGAAAGCUGCGCGCUGGACCUUCAUUUCUUUGCCACGGUCAAACGGCUCUGCAGAAAAAUCUAGAAUUUUGAUACAAUAAUCUUGAAAGACUCACAAACAUCCUCCAAUUGGAACUACUCCAAAAUUUAUCCGUUUGUUCGCUUUUUGCUCUAGAAGAAUUCGAAUGUCCUUAGUUCAACAAUUACAAUAUGUCACUAUAUGUUCAUAUAUAAUUACUAAACUUUAUUCCCAUGACAACAACCAUAUCCAAUAGGGACCUUCACUUAACCAAAAUAAAAAUUAUGUAUUUGAACUUUUUAUUAUUUCAAAUAGGUCCCCAAAAUUUUGAUAAUUGCACUUUGGCCCCUGAACUUCUGGUAAUUUACAAAAUUACCCUAAAACUAAAACUAUUUUCACAAUUCAAUCCUUGGUAUGAAACCAGCAGCUUUGAGGUUUGUUUUCCUAGAAAUUCAACAUAUCUUUCAAGCCAAAGCACAAUCAUCAAUAGUACAACUCAUUUCUUCCAUACAAACGUCCUUUAAAGACCAAAUUUGAUGAAUUUCGAGUCAAACAUAAAAUUUCUCUAAAUCUCAUCCAUAUGAAAGUGGUACAAAAUCCCAGAAAUCUGAUCAUAUGUAAAUCUUUACCUUAAUGUCUCAUAAAUCAUUGUCCAGUCAUCAAAUAGGCAUCAAAGCCCUUGAUUUCAAAGCUAAAACGAUGAUCCACGUCACUAUUGCAAUAGCUAAGCUCCAUGUACUUGAGCAAGCUCCUUGAUCACUCAUAAUGCCAUGUAUUUCUUCCACUCUAUUUUUUUUUUCUAAUCUCUCUCUCUAACAUAUACACACACGUAUACACAAACCAUGCAUGCAUACAUGCAUGGCUUCUCAGUAGCCAACAUAUGUUUCGAAAAGU